AUUGGUGUUCGGUGUGGCUUGUGUAGGAUAGGUGGGAGACUUUGAAGCGGGCACGCCAGUGUUCGUGGAGUCAUUGUUGAAAUACCACUCUGGUCACUCUGGAUAUCUAACUUCGAACCGUGAUCCGGUUCAGGGACAGUGCCUGGUGGGUAGUUUAACUGGGGCGGUUGCCUCCCAAAAAGUAACGGAGGCGCCCAAAGGUUCCCUCAACCUGGUUGGCA
Molecule: ribosomal RNA, 221 nt
Filed under: Schumannella luteola
Lineage: Bacteria; Bacillati; Actinomycetota; Actinomycetes; Micrococcales; Microbacteriaceae
Description: partial 23S ribosomal RNA
Rfam family: Bacterial large subunit ribosomal RNA
Source: RNAcentral